RNAcentral lists this ribosomal RNA (704 nucleotides) under Bacillus sp. H1.2. Its description in RNAcentral is "bacterial SSU rRNA". It matches the Rfam family "Bacterial small subunit ribosomal RNA", at positions 8 to 695 of the family's 1533-position model. Lineage: Bacteria; Bacillati; Bacillota; Bacilli; Caryophanales; Bacillaceae. The record is from RNAcentral.
AGAGUUUGAUCCUGGCUCAGGACGAACGCUGGCGGCGUGCCUAAUACAUGCAAGUCGAGCGGACAGAAGGGAGCUUGCUCCCGGAUGUUAGCGGCGGACGGGUGAGUAACACGUGGGUAACCUGCCUGUAAGACUGGGAUAACUCCGGGAAACCGGAGCUAAUACCGGAUAGUUCCUUGAACCGCAUGGUUCAAGGAUGAAAGACGGUUUCGGCUGUCACUUACAGAUGGACCCGCGGCGCAUUAGCUAGUUGGUGAGGUAACGGCUCACCAAGGCGACGAUGCGUAGCCGACCUGAGAGGGUGAUCGGCCACACUGGGACUGAGACACGGCCCAGACUCCUACGGGAGGCAGCAGUAGGGAAUCUUCCGCAAUGGACGAAAGUCUGACGGAGCAACGCCGCGUGAGUGAUGAAGGUUUUCGGAUCGUAAAGCUCUGUUGUUAGGGAAGAACAAGUGCAAGAGUAACUGCUUGCACCUUGACGGUACCUAACCAGAAAGCCACGGCUAACUACGUGCCAGCAGCCGCGGUAAUACGUAGGUGGCAAGCGUUGUCCGGAAUUAUUGGGCGUAAAGGGCUCGCAGGCGGUUUCUUAAGUCUGAUGUGAAAGCCCCCGGCUCAACCGGGGAGGGUCAUUGGAAACUGGGAAACUUGAGUGCAGAAGAGGAGAGUGGAAUUCCACGUGUAGCGGUGAAAUGCGUAGAG